CCUACGGGAGGCAGCAGUGAGGAAUCUUCCACAAUGGGCGAAAGCCUGAUGGAGCAACGCCGCGUGAAGGAUGAAGGCCUUCGGGUUGUCAACUUCUUUUAUGAGUGAAGAAUAUGACGGUAACUCAUGAAUAAGCACCGGCUAACUACGUGCCAGCAGCGGCGGUCAUACGUAGGGUGCGAGCAUUAUCCGGAGUGACUGGGCGUAAAGAGUUGCGUAGGCGGUAAGUCAAGUGAAUAGUGAAACCUGGUGGCUCAACCAUACAGACUAUUAUUCAAACUGGCUUACUCGAGAGUGGUAGAGGUAACUGGAAUUUCUUGGGUAGGAGUGAAAUCCGUAGAUAUAAGAAGGAACACCAAUGGCGUAGGCAGGUUACUGGACCAUUUCUGACGCUAAGGCACGAAAGCGUGGGGAGCGAACCGGAUUAGAUACCCGGGUAGUC
Molecule: ribosomal RNA, 442 nt
Filed under: uncultured bacterium
Lineage: Bacteria
Description: bacterial SSU rRNA
Rfam family: Bacterial small subunit ribosomal RNA
Source: RNAcentral